This 599-nucleotide ribosomal RNA is filed under the name uncultured bacterium. Its description in RNAcentral is "bacterial SSU rRNA". It matches the Rfam family "Bacterial small subunit ribosomal RNA", at positions 828 to 1428 of the family's 1533-position model. The record is from RNAcentral.
CAUUCCACGAGUUCCGUGCCGCAGCUAACGCAUUAAGCGCCCCGCCUGGGGAGUACGGCCGCAAGGCUAAAACUCAAAGGAAUUGACGGGGGCCCGCACAAGCGGCGGAGCAUGUUGCUUAAUUCGAUGCAACGCGAAGAACCUUACCUAGGCUUGACAUGCACGGAAAUCCUCCAGAGAUGGUGGGUCCGUAAGGGCCGUGCACAGGUGGUGCAUGGUUGUCGUCAGCUCGUGUCGUGAGAUGUUGGGUUAAGUCCCGCAACGAGCGCAACCCUUGUUCUAUGUUGCCAGCACGUCAUGGUGGGGACUCAUAGGAGACUGCCGGGGUCAACUCGGAGGAAGGUGGGGAUGACGUCAAAUCAUCAUGCCCCUUAUGUCUAGGGCUGCAAACAUGCUACAAUGGCCGGUACAAAGGGCUGCGAUACCGCGAGGUGGAGCGAAUCCCAAAAAGCCGGUCUCAGUUCGGAUUGGGGUCUGCAACUCGACCCCAUGAAGUUGGAGUCGCUAGUAAUCGCAGAUCAGCAACGCUGCGGUGAAUACGUUCCCGGGCCUUGUACACACCGCCCGUCACGUCACGAAAGUCGGUAACGCCCGAAGCC